This is a long non-coding RNA of Carcharodon carcharias (great white shark), 1974 nucleotides long. RefSeq lists it as uncharacterized. The transcript has 3 exons. NCBI's taxonomy places the organism in Eukaryota, Metazoa, Chordata, Chondrichthyes, Lamniformes, Lamnidae. The record is from RefSeq and is a predicted model, not a curated record.
GCUACUUGUGGGACCAGCCUCUAAUUAUGGCUUUCCUGUUUUUUUUCCACUAAAUUUUAUGGCUUUCUACUGAGAUUGUGAAGUGCCUCAAGAAUGACACUCUGCCCAGUUAUACUGCAUUUUUCCUACUCAAUCCCGUCUCCAGAAGGUGUUGGUGAUGACAGGAUAUAAUUCCACAGGCACUAAUUACCCAAUUAUCAACUCAUGUCCAUUAACUGGCAUGUGUUCAAUCCUUUGAAGAGGAAUCCUGGGUCAGAAAGUAUGGUCAUCCUGAAACAAAAUUUUCUAAUCUGCCCUGUCUUCUGUCUUAAUCCUUUGUGCACAGCAUUCCUACAGGAUAACUACAGAGCUGCAAGACAAAGGAACGUGCAUGCUUGUUUUUUCGUCAACCACUUUUCACGCCUUUCAUAUCAGUGUUUGUUUCUAUUAUUCCAUUUUACGGGGUAAAAGACUACAUUAAUAGUAAAGGAAGGGUAGGAGAAUAUAACACAAGACUGAAACAGCCCCUUCCUCAAGCAAAGGAUUGCCAAUUAUAGCCAAGAAUAAAGAGCUACAGGUGGAGGACUACCUUUCUGUUACACCCACAAAGAAGAGGCUGUCAAGAUCCUGGGCACCAUUUCAACCCAAAGUGUGGGACGGUAGAGUUGGAGAGCUUGGAUGAGUAGGUCCUUUCUGAGCACAUAGAUGUUGUAUGGUGAAAGCAGUGUAAGUGUUUCCUAUAUUUUCCUAUCGGUGGUUGCAAACCUCAGUAGAGCAGACUGAAAGAAAUCUGAUCCUUAAUUCCUUUUUACUUCUGCAAAUGGAAUACAAGCUCAAAAGUAAGAAGGCCUCGAGAUACAACUACUUGGGGCCUCAGAAGAAGUGAGUGACCCAAAAACACCUGCCACUUCAUCAUAACCUGCCCCCCAACCCUCUCCGCUACCUUUCACCAGCAUGGAGAGGCAAACACAGAGUGAAUUCAUUUAAAUGAGAAAUUUUCACUGAUGAGUCACAGAACACAAGGAUGCCAGAAGAUGUGGGAGUGUAAAAAUGAUCAUACUGUUUCUGAGUGGAAUGCCAGGAUUAGACCCUGCAGAUCUGGAGCAUGCCAACAUGCUGAAAUGAUCUUGUCGGGGGAGGGAGUUGGGGGCACACUGUAUUGAAGAAAAGAAUGCUUGUAGGUACAUCAUGGAUCUGCAGGGAUAUCUGCACCUGUCCCCAGUUAUAGGGAGCACUACAGGCAUUAACUGCCUUGUUACAAAAUAUACAAUUUAAAAAAUAUACAAUUUCUAAUUGUCCUUUUUCUGGCUGGAUUUAAAAUACAACCAAUAAACUGUAAUCUUAUUAAUAUAAUGGAGGACUGCCAGCCGAUCAGAAAAAACAACCUGUAUUCGACUCACGCAGGAUGAAAAUGGAACAGACACCCAACCAUCCCCCCAUCUCGAGAAGUGCGAAAGACGUCAUCUCCUGUUGGCUUUCAUACUAUCUUGAAACUCUUCAAAACUUUGAGAUGAGCCAUCAGAAUUAACUGUUCUACAAACAAUGACUGCAGCAGAAAUGGUAAUUGAAUUCCUCUGGAAUGUAUAACCAGCAGGGCUUUUAAGAACUGUAUCACCAAGUCAGAGAGAACGCAAGGACAGAUCAGAAUGCUGUACUGAAAAGCUGCAAGGCAGCUGUUUUUCUCUCUCUCUUGAAAGUACUGUGCCUGAAAAGAGGAAUUUACUGCAAACUGAGAUCUUUUGGGGGGAGAAAACUGCUCAAUACAACUACGCCAGGAAGACAACUGAAUAAGAUGUCCGCAAGGUUGGCUCAUUGUGUUAAGACCAGCCAAAGGACAGUUAACAGUAUAUUUCUUUGUUUAUCUUCUUUACAAACUGUAAAACAUCUUUAAGCCUAUCUUCUUAUGCUAGCAUCUGUACUAGUGUAUGUUUGGGCCUAGGGAAUAUGUGUGAUUUAUGAAUGGUGUUUGUGAUUUACCUAUUUUCUUAAUUCAGA